Molecule: transfer RNA, 85 nt
Organism: Felis catus (domestic cat)
Lineage: Eukaryota; Metazoa; Chordata; Mammalia; Carnivora; Felidae
Rfam family: tRNA
About the family: Transfer RNA (tRNA) molecules are approximately 80 nucleotides in length.
Source: Rfam
GCCUGGGUGGCUCAGUUGGUUGGGCGUCUGACUUCAACUCAGGUCAUGAUCUCACGGUUUGUGGGUUCGAGCCCCACAUCGGGCU